Long non-coding RNA from Sciurus carolinensis (gray squirrel), 668 nucleotides. RefSeq lists it as uncharacterized. The record is from RefSeq and is a predicted model, not a curated record. The transcript has 3 exons. Lineage: Eukaryota; Metazoa; Chordata; Mammalia; Rodentia; Sciuridae.
GUACAGGACGCCGUCUACAGCGGCCAGAGGGAGCUCGGGGUCUGCGGGGCACCUACCAGGUGUCCCACGCCAGCAGAUCCCAGGGGAGACAGGCCCCCAAGCAUGGGCUCCCUGCGGGCAGGAGCUGGUGAACCAGAAUGCUGUCGUGAUACCUGGAGUUGAAGCAGCCACUUUGCACCAUAAAGAUGAAAACCCCAUGCCAGGGAAGCCAGAAGGACAUCUCAAGAGGCUGCCCCUCUGCUGUGCUUCCUGCUUACGUCAGCAUGGCUGGGUUUCUGUGACUUGCCGCUAACUACAAAUCCUGACUCAUCAACAGGCUUUCUCAGGACUUUCAAGAUGUUCAGCAGAAGGGCCAACCCAAAGCAGCUGCUUAAUAAACACUGAGCAAAGGAGUGAAUGGAUGGACGAGGUGACCUGAGACUCCAGGACCUGAACGGCAAAUGCAGCCCGAAAGGGAAGCAUGUCAAACAAUGCUGUCAAGCUCAGGAGGCCUGGAUUCCUCCUGGGGCCAAGCUGUGUGACCCCGAAUUCCGAGGAGAGAUCAAUAGGAAAGAGGCAGAACCACACUGAUGGAGCACCCCGGGCCAAGAACCACCUGUCACCUCUGAAUCUCCACGCCACCCAGCAAACGGGCGCCCUGGUCAGCCCUAUUUAACAAAUGAGGAGAC